UUGGAGGGCAAGUCUGGUGCCAGCAGCCGCGGUAAUUCCAGCUCCAAUAGCGUAUAUUAAAGUUGUUGCAGUUAAAAAGCUCGUAGUUGAACUUCGGGGUUUACUCAUUGGUCAGGCUUAAUUGUCUGUACUGGUGAGAUAAAUCUCUACCUUCUGAGGAACUUUCAUGCCAUUUAUUUGGUGUGAUCGGAAAUCAGGACUAUUACUUUGAAAAAAUUAGAGUGUUUAAAGCAGGCUAACGUCUGAAUAUAUUAGCAUGGAAUAAUGAAAUAGGACGGCUUGGUUCUAUUUCGUUGGUUUCUAGGAUCACCGUAAUGAUUAAUAGGGAUAGUUGGGGGCAUUAGUAUUCAAUUGUCAGAGGUGAAAUUCUUGGAUUUAUUGAAGACUAACUACUGCGAAAGCAUUUGCCAAGGAUGUUUUCAUUAAUCAAGAACGAAAGUUAGGGGAUCGAAGACGAUCAGAUACCGUCGUAGUCUUAACCAUAAACUAUGCCGACUAGGGAUCGGACGAAGUUAAUUUUAUAAUGACGCGUUCGGCGCCUUACGGGAAAC
This 551-nucleotide ribosomal RNA is filed under the name uncultured Glomeromycotina. RNAcentral's name for it is "SSU rRNA". It matches the Rfam family "Eukaryotic small subunit ribosomal RNA", at positions 548 to 1098 of the family's 1831-position model. Lineage: Eukaryota; Fungi; Glomeromycota. The record is from RNAcentral.